UAGAGACCCAGUCCGGGUUUGAUUGCCUGGUUAGAGUCCCGGUGCAGGUUUGCGCAGGAUCCAGAUCGUCUGGGUUAGAGUCCCAGUCCAGGUGUUCGAGUCCCUGGAGAGGUAAGCGAGCGCUCAGCAUGGGAAAGAGGGGUUAGAGUCCUUUCCUUCUCGACGUGAAAAAUAUGGGACAAUUUGGCAGUAAAUGCCCGGGGGACGCCCCGUUGUCUCUGAUACUUACAGAUUAGAAACAGAUUUCUGAGACCGCUGGUCUAGUUAAAUUUAAGAUGAGGAAUCUGUGUUGGACCCAAUGGCCAUCAUUUACCUUUCAUUUGUCCCUGAUUAGAAACUGGUCGGAGGGUGAAACCUUUUCCACAGAUAGGAUGAACUCCUUAAGGCAUAUUUUGGUUGAUCUUAGGCCGGGACAAAUGGAUUAUUUGUUUGUGUGGUAUAAUUAUAAACCCAUGGAGGGAUGGAUAGCCUUUGAUGCUGUUUGUAUGGAGAGCUCUUGUAAAAAUCCCCAAAAGCAGGUUAGAGAUAGUGCAGGGACAAAGGAGGGACCUAUCUAGAAAGGGGAGACCCUAUGUCCUAGUGCACUCUUUCCCUGUUGUAGCUAAAAAGCAAGAUCAGAUGCAGAAUGGUGGGGGCCAGUGUGAGUGACUGUUACUGGAAGACGCCUAGAGUACCCUGUGAAGCAAAAGCUCGUGACCAGGACUACUCUAAUGCAAGCCCGGUAACUAGUGGAUCUUUAGGAGGUCCGACCCAUGGUGGGCUGACUUGGCCUGGCAUCGUCCGGUGAGAAAGCUACCUGGGUCUAGGAGUGUGUGUACCCAUUUUCCCUCCCCCUUUCCUUUCCGUGCGGGCUACUGACAGUCUGAUCAUCUCACUGGAGGCAGUUAGAGUAAGCGGCUCCGUCUCCCAGAGACUAGCCAACGCUCUUUGCUGAAGGGAGGUGUAGGAGGGUCGUGGCCAUCCUCAUUAGCCUCUCCUGUGUGAGUACCCUGUAGAGAAAAUUCUUAGUUUAUGAGCCACUAGUGCGGACAGGGCACCCUCCCUGUGCGUGUAAGUGAAAAAUGGGUGGGGGACAAUCUAAACAUUCCAUCUCACCACCUAAGGGUACCCCAGCAUUUUACAUGUACAUACAUUAUGGUUCAACGACCUGCAGGUAUUUAGAGAAUUGGAACAUUUACACGAAACAAUGCCCACUAGAAGGUACUUCAAUCUAGAUAAGAUCAUAUAUUUAAGAGGAGCGUUUAAUCACCA
Chelonoidis abingdonii (Abingdon island giant tortoise) is the source of this 1251-nucleotide non-coding RNA. NCBI's taxonomy places the organism in Eukaryota, Metazoa, Chordata, Testudines, Testudinidae. The record is from RefSeq and is a predicted model, not a curated record.